UCAAGUAAGUAAGGGCGUACGGCGGAUGCCUUGGCCAUAUCAGCCGAAGAAGGACGCGAUAAGCUGCGAUAAGCUGCGGUGAGGUGCAAGUAACCUUUGACCCGCAGAUCUCCGAAUGGGGAAACCCGGCAGCAGUAGUGCUGUCAUCCUCUAUGAGGAAGGGCACCCGGUGAACUGAAACAUCUAAGUAGCCGGAGGAAAAGGAAUCAACAGAGAUACCCCUAGUAGCGGCGAGCGAACGGGGCAGAGCCCAAACCGGGAUGGGAAACCAAUCCGGGGUUGUGGACUGCUAUCAAAUGCAUGAGUGAAGCAGAAUGAGCUGGGAAGCUCAGCCAGAGAGAGUGAGAGCCUCGUAGGCGUAAGCGAAUGCAUGGAGCAGGAUCCGGAGUACCACGGGACACGAGAAACCCUGUGGGAAGCUGGGGGGACCACCCUCCAAGGCGAAACACUGAUAUGGACCGAUAGCGCAUAGUACCGUGAGGGAAAGGUGAAAAGAACCCCGGGAGGGGAAUGAAAGAGAACCUGAAACCGUAUGUCUACAAGCAGUCGAAGACCUUUAUAUGGUCGACGGCGUGCCUAUUGAAGAAUGAACCGGCGAGUUACUUCAGCUAGCGAGGUUAAGCAGGAAAUGCGGAGCCGCAGCGAAAGCGAGUCUGAACAGGGCGUAUAGUUAGUUGGAGUAGACCCGAAACCACAGUGAUCUACCCAUGUCCAGGUUGAAGCACAGGUAAAAAUGUGUGGAGGACCGAACCAGUGAGCGUUGAAAAGCUUUUGGAUGAGAUGUGGGUAGGGGUGAAAUGCCAAUCGAACGUGGAGAUAGCUGGUUCUCCCCGAAAUAGCUUUAGGGCUAGCCUCAUGGCGAGAGUACAGGCGGUAGAGCACUGAACGGGGUAGGGGCCUAUCCGGCUACUGAACCUAAUCAAACUGCGAAUGGCUGUACUUAUCCAUGGGAGUCAGACUGUGAGUAAUAAGGCCCAUAGUCAAGAGGGAAACAGCCCAGACCAACAGCUAAGGUCCCCAAUGCCGUACUAAGUGGCGAAGGAUGUGGAAUUUCGAAAACAACCAGGAUGUUGGCUCAGAAGCAGCCACCAUUAAAAGAGUGCGUAAUAGCUCACUGGUCGAGAGACUCUGCGCCGAAGAUGUCCGGGGCUAAAGUACGGAACCGAAGCUUUGGCAAUUAACAUAAGUUAAUUGGGUAGGGGAGCGUUCCUGCAUGGGAGAAGCCUGACCGGAAGGACAGGUGGACAGGCAGGAAGAGAGAAUGCCGGUAUGAGUAGCGAAAAGAAGGGUGAGAAUCCCUUCCACCGAAAGCCUAAGGGUUCCUGGGCAACGAUCGUCGUCCCAGGGUAAGUCGGGACCUAAUCCGAGGCGGAGACGCGUAGGAGAUGGACAACAGGUUGAAAUUCCUGUACUGGCUGAGGCCGUUUGAGCGAAGGAGUGACACAGGAAGGAAGGCGCGCGUGCGAUUGGAAGAGCACGUCCAAGCAGGUAGGUCGGGAGACAGGCAAAUCCGUUUCCCGUAAGGCCGAGAUGCGAUGGGGAGCUUCUGGAGACAGAAGCGAAGGGGCUGGCACUAAACUGUCGAGAAAAGCUUCUAGUGAGGACUCAGGCACCCGUACCGAAACCGACACAGGUAGGCAGGAUGAGAAUUCUAAGGUGCGCGGGAAAACCCUCGUUAAGGAACUCGGCAAAAUAUAUCCGUAACUUCGGGAAAAGGAUAACCCAGCGUACGUGAAGUGCAGAAGCGCAUGGAGCGGAGAUGGGUGGCAGAAGAGAGGCCCAAGCGACUGUUUACCACAAACACAGGCGUCUGCUAAAGCGAAAGCUGAUGUAUAGAUGCUGACACCUGCCCGGUGCUGGAAGGUUAAGAGGAAGUGUUAGCGCAAGCGAAGCAGUGAAUUGAAGCCCCAGUAAACGGCGGCCGUAACUAUAACGGUCCUAAGGUAGCGAAAUUCCUUGUCGGGUAAGUUCC
Molecule: ribosomal RNA, 1972 nt
Filed under: human gut metagenome
Description: bacterial LSU rRNA
Rfam family: Bacterial large subunit ribosomal RNA
Source: RNAcentral